This 466-nucleotide ribosomal RNA is filed under the name uncultured bacterium. Its description in RNAcentral is "partial 16S ribosomal RNA". It matches the Rfam family "Bacterial small subunit ribosomal RNA", at positions 28 to 507 of the family's 1533-position model. The record is from RNAcentral.
GAUGAACGCUGGCGGCGUGCUUAACACAUGCAAGUCGAACGAUGAAGCCCAGCUUGCUGGGUGGAUUAGUGGCGAACGGGUGAGUAACACGUGAGUAACCUGCCCUUAACUCUGGGAUAAGCCUGGGAAACUGGGUCUAAUACCGGAUAGGAGCGUCCACCGCAUGGUGGGUGUUGGAAAGAUUUAUCGGUUUUGGAUGGACUCGCGGCCUAUCAGCUUGUUGGUGAGGUAAUGGCUCACCAAGGCGACGACGGGUAGCCGGCCUGAGAGGGUGACCGGCCACACUGGGACUGAGACACGGCCCAGACUCCUACGGGAGGCAGCAGUGGGGAAUAUUGCACAAUGCGCGCAAGCCUGAUGCAGCGACGCCGCGUGAGGGAUGACGGCCUUCGGGUUGUAAACCUCUUUCAGUAGGGAAGAAGCGAAAGUGACGGUACCUGCAGAAGAAGCACCGGCUAACUACGUG